RNAcentral lists this ribosomal RNA (98 nucleotides) under Colletotrichum incanum. Lineage: Eukaryota; Fungi; Ascomycota; Sordariomycetes; Glomerellales; Glomerellaceae. The record is from RNAcentral.
ACAUACGACCAUACCGACGGGAGAACUUGGGAUCCCGUCCGCUCUCCCAUAGAUAAGCCAGUGAGGGCUGGAGUAGCUGUCGGCUCGUGAGGUAUGUU